AAUAGGGGUACUCUCAUAUCCGAAACGUUUUCUUUGGUGGGACUUAUCAGAAUCCUGGGAUUCUGUGAAAAUCUAUGUUUUUCGAGGAUUUUGAAUUGCACUAGGAUUCUGCAGAAUCCGCUCGAGAUUUUGGAAGGCAAAUCGAGUUCUUUUCGCUCAGGAUUUUCCAGGACGAGAUUCUUCACAAUCUGUUCAAAAGAACUGGGCCUAAUUGCCGAAUGCAGCGGUAUUCUUUCGCUGGAGGUCAUUGCUGGAUUUGCUUUAGCUCUUCGGGCUGUUUUUCGUAAUCUCCAAGCCUCUUCAACCACCGUAAACCGAGGUCAGAUCCAGACUCAGCUGCUAUCUGGAACUGCUCCUUUGCCAGCUUUACUGGGUCCUGCUGUAUGGUCCUUUUUCGCACCUUCCCAGUUGACGGACUCUUGCCUGAGUUGAACCUGGUAAUGACUUCAGGCACUUCAGCACCUGAAACAACCACACGGUAAGCAUAAACAGAUAGGCCUGGAGUCUGGAGUAAUCUAACAAUUCCAGCCAAAAUUAAACAAAAUCAGUUGACCAAGAGCUGUCCAAAUUAAUGGUGAAACCAUAACUUCACAACCUGUUUACUCUAAAAUAGCCAUUACAAGAAGGAUAAUAUAAGGACACAUGAUUAUCUCUUGAAACGUUAAGAGUUACUCCCUCCGUAAACAAAUAUAAGAGCGUUUAGAUCACUAAGAGUUACUCCCUCCAUAAACAAAUAUAAGAGCGUUUAGAUCACUACUUUAGUGAUCUAAACGCUCUUAUAUUUCUUUACAGAGGGAGUACUUGUCUACAAACCUUUCAGAAGAAGGGAACCAUAUGCAAUUGCAGCUCCAGCAUGUCCCUGAGAUGUCAGAAAAACAGAAAUAACAACGUGAUUCAUGGGUUGCAAGUAAAUAAGAUAAUUUUGAGUUGAUCUAUUUCAUUUACUACCUUUUCUGAAGCUCUAUGGAAACACCACAUAGCUGAAGCUAUGUCCCUCUUAACGCAAUCCCCAGUUAUAUAUACAGCACCAAGAAGAUACAAAGCACCAGGAUGCAACUGCAUUCAAAGAUAGGUAAAAGCUGAAUAUGCUUACCAAGAAGCAUAGUAGAAAAUAUAUGAUCAACAUUCAGGUGGCAAGCAUACCUGGUCAACAGCUUUCUCUAUAUAAUGAAAGGCCUGUUGAUCAGACUGAACAUGAUCAUUCUACAAGCAACAAAGGUAACCAUCAACUGAGGUGAAGAAAUAUUCCACCGAAAUGGUCUAAGGAAUGAAACUAUCAUUUGCCCAGCAAACAACUAAUAUUCGAUUAAUAAAGUGCCCCACAAAAAAAAGAAUUAAAUAGGUGGAACAGAAAGAUGCCAAAAGCAGAUGAAGAGUGAAAACCUCAACUCUUAGCCGACAUCCAAGUUCAUACUGUGCCUCUGGAUCACCCAUGUUCGCAGCUUCAACAAGCAAAGCAGCACCACUGUACGCAUGAAAAGUGAGAGAUGAGCAUAAUUCACAUGAAAUGUGUACUGAAGGCAAGUUUUGCUUCAUGUGGAGGUAGCGGAAUAAAUGUUCCUACUAAAACGCAGCAAAAGAAAAGGAUGGUUUGCCUCACUCAAUAUUUUACGAUUUAAUUGAAGGUCAAAAAAGUAAACAUCGUUCCCAAUUUUCUUUUCCAAUCAAGGAGCUGCUAAUCUCGUUAAUCUUCUGUCCUGGUAAGUACUAAUGCAGCAAUUAUUGCUGACUAAUUGGACACAUAAUGUUGUUAGUAACCGCAAUUCAAAUAUAUUGCCAGUACAAAUUAUCUCAAAGCGCCAAACUCGAGGCAUACCAGUGGUUUAUUAAACAUUUUGACCAAGACAAUAAGGUUCAGUUCCAGUUAGGAUUUUGAAUAGGUUCACCCGCAAAAAAAAANNNNNNNNNNNNNNNNNNNNNNNNNNNNNNNNNNNNNNNNNNNNNNNNNNNNNNNNNNNNNNNNNNNNNNNNNNNNNNNNNNNNNNNNNNNNNNNNNNNNNNNNNNNNNNNNNNNNNNNNNNNNNNNNNNNNNNNNNNNNNNNNNNNNNNNNNNNNNNNNNNNNNNNNNNNNNNNNNNNNNNNNNNNNNNNNNNNNNNNNNNNNNNNNNNNNNNNNNNNNNNNNNNNNNNNNNNNNNNNNNNNNNNNNNNNNNNNNNNNNNNNNNNNNNNNNNNNNNNNNNNNNNNNNNNNNNNNNNNNNNNNNNNNNNNNNNNNNNNNAAAAAAAAGGUCACUUAUAAAGGAUUCAAAUUGAGUCAAAACAACAACAUAACUACAUAAGCAACGAUAAAAUUAGUUGUUUGCAUCACGUUCACAGAUUCCUGGAAUAGCAGUGAAACAACAAAGUAGUGUACAUGCCAUAUGAGCAGGUUGAACGACACAGCAAAGUAAGUAAAUUAACACUAACAUCAUGGGAGGUAAAAUUAACUCACAUUGCCUUGCACGCCCCGGGAACAUGGUACUUGAAAUGCAUCUUGGCCAGCCAACAUCUCGCGUGAGUAUUCAUAUUGUCGAUCUCUAGAGCCAGCUCAAAGUUCUCCUUUGCGCCCUUCGACACCGAGAAAGAAUCGCACAACAAAAAGUUAAAACCCCAACAACAGGUCACAACAGAAUGGUUCCAAAUGGGGGAAGAGAGGGAACGUGAAUCCAGAGCUGUACCCUGAGAAGUGGGAUUAGUCGCUUGUCGUUGCGGUCGGCGAAGUCGAUGACGCGAUCGACCUCCUGUAGGGCGCUCCAACCCUUGGCCACCAACUCCAUUGCCUUCUUGUUCCGGUCGUGAAUCCAUCUCUGCAACCACAAAGAAGUUUAUUCACCGCCUGGCAACAUACUAGAGCAUGAAAUCAAAUAGAUACGUAGAUGCGCGCGUCUCAUCCGCGCCACACUCACCUGGUGAUUCAGCGUCGAGGCCAGCUGGGAGACAUGGCCGGACGGGGAAGACGAAGCGGCGGCGGCAGCGACCCGCCGCGCCGAUGCGGCGAUCAUGGCGGGGUGACGCCCUUCUCCGUGAGCCCGGCUGCAGAGGGGAUGACAGGGUGGUCUGCCCCCCAAAAAAAUUAUAAGCAAUAUGGACACGUGAACAUUCUAACUAAUUACCAAUAUCACAAAGAAAUAGAUCAAUAUGGUCUUACAAACACACUAAAAUUCUCAAUUAAAUCUUAGUUUUGCAUAAAGAAGCCUACAUAUUACAUACUACAUGGAACAUACUCCCUCCGUUCCGAAUUACUUGUCGCAGGUAUGGAUGUAUCUAGAUGUAUUUUAAUUCUACAUACAUCCAUUUCUGCGACGAGUAAUUUGGAACGGAGGAAGUAGUAGAUAGUGCAUACCUUGAGAAAUUCAAAAAGACUGUUUCUGGCCUACGUUUUUGCAUUGCCAUGAAGAUAUCAAUUAUAUCAGCUUCAUUCACCUCUGAGAAAGCAUCCCUCUCAAUGUAUGUGACUAGGCCGAAAUUAUGUGCAAAAUUAUGUAUGGAUAGUGCAAAAAUGAAACCCUAAAUCAGAAAUUAGGGUAUUUCGGUACCUUCAAUUCCGGAGGCUGGUGUGGUGACUGAGCGGCAGUGGCUGCCGCCAAACUUGCAGGGGGGCGAGGGCAGGGGCGCCAGGCUUCCGGCCGGCGGCAGGGGCACGGCCGCGCGCAGGGAGGGGCGUGGGCAGGGAGGCGCGGCUGGACCAGAGGGCUGUCCGACCGGGCGGGAAGGAGAGGCGCGGGCGCCAGGAGGCUGGGAUCCGGGCUCCGGCUGGCGACCGGCGGUGAGGUCGCGAGGAACGGCGACGGCGAGGCGGCUGGGCGUCGAUGUCGGGCAGUGGCGCAGUGCUGUGCGAGGGCGUCGCCGUGUCGGGAGGAAGGGCUCUGCUCGAUGUGGACUGGGCCGCGAGGACUAUUUCUCGCAUUCAGCGAGGCUCGCUGAACCGUUUAGAAAUAGAAAAAGUAAGAGAAAAUGAGGGCCUGGGUUCGAUUCUGUACUGCAUAGAGUUUUUUUUUCUUAACACAGUACAGACGCAAGCGCUUAUAUACACGCGCAGACACUCACCCUUAUAAACAUGUACACACUCUAUUUCUAUGAGCAUCUUCAAAAGACUAAGCCGGCAUAUUAUCUUGAAAUUUACGAAGUCACCGUAGGCACCUCAUCGUCAACGUGAACGUCUCGAACUUGAAUACUGGUGGAUUAAGGAUAUCAUAGUCCCUCUAACCAUUCAACCACAGAUUGACUACAUAGAGUUGCUAGCCGCUAUGCCACUUAUCAUUUCGCGUUCGCACCCUAGUUGAUGUAAAAGACCGGAGCUUUCUUUUCUAUUUCUCCUCUUUUAAUGCUUAUUCAUUUUUCUUCUUUUCUCUUCUCCAACUUUUCCUUUCUUUUUUGCAUUUGUCCCUUCGUUUUUUCCUCCUUUUUCAUUUUUUGUUUCUCCUUUCUCCUUUGUUUUUUAUGUUUGCUUUCGUUUUCACUCUACAUUUUCAUAUAUGUCAAAAAUAUUUUUUGUAUAAGUGGUCAACAUUUUUUGUAUACACGUUCAACAUUUCUCAAAAACUUGUUCNNNNNNNNNNNNNNNNNNNNNNNNNNNNNNNNNNNNNNNNNNNNNNNNNNNNNNNNNNNNNNNNNNNNNNNNNNNNNNNNNNNNNNNNNNNNNNNNNNNNNNNNNNNNNNNNNNNNNNNNNNNNNNNNNNNNNNNNNNNNNNNNNNNNNNNNNNNNNNNNNNNNNNNNNNNNNNNNNNNNNNNNNNNNNNNNNNNNNNNNNNNNNNNNNNNNNNNNNNNNNNNNNNNNNNNNNNNNNNNNNNNNNNNNNNNNNNNNNNNNNNNNNNNNNNNNNNNNNNNNNNNNNNNNNNNNNNNNNNNNNNNNNNNNNNNNNNNNNNNNNNNNNNNNNNNNNNNNNNNNNNNNNNNNNNNNNNNNNNNNNNNNNNNNNNNNNNNNNNNNNNNNNNNNNNNAUUCAACAUUUUCAAAUACUUGUUCAACAUUGUAUUAUACUCGUUCAACAUUUUCUAAUAUCUAUUCAACAUUUUUAAAAUACUGUCGAACAGUUUUAAUACUUAUUCAACAUUUUCAAAUACUUGUUCAACAUUUAUCAAAUUUUUGCUCAACAUUUUUAAAUACAUGUUCAUCAUUUUUUAUAUACUUGUUCAAUAUUUUUUUAAUACCUAUUCAAAAUAUUUAAAAUAUUUUUUCAACAUUUUUAAUACUUGUUCAACAUUUUUCAAAUACUUGCUCAACAUUUUACAAAUUCUUGUUCAACAUUUUUUAAUACUUAUUCAAUAUUUUAUCAAAUGUAUUUUUGAAGAGUGUUUUUAAUAUAUAUAUAUAUAUAUAAUAUUUUUAAAGUAUAAAAAAUGAAAACAAAAACAAAAAAUGUAAAAAUAAAUAAAACUAAGGAACAUGCCGGUGUUGCCAGCGCGGGUGGCCCAGCCUAGACGCUCACGCGCUUCAGCGAGUCAGAUGCCUCGACUCGCUGAACGCGAGGAAUAGCGAUGCCCGGACUGGGCGUGGUUGUAUUUGUCAACUGGUAUGUAUACUGGGCCAUUUUUUUCUGGCCCUGUAACUAGAUGUUCCAACCCAUGAUAAAGUUUUUUCGGAAACCUAGGAGCCUCCGCUUAGGCGAUUAGGGUUUCGUGGAGCACGGCGGCGCUCGCCAGAUCUUGAUUGGCGGGGUGCGUGAUUGGCCGGGCAAGAUGUCCUCAUCGGGCGCCGGCAGAGGGGUGGGUCUAAUCCCACGCCUGGGCGGACAGAGAACCAAGGAGAGAAGGCGCAGGCGGCACCAGGAUCGUCGGGCGCGGCUAGGGCUCAACUGGAAGAGGCCCUUGGAAAACUCGGGAUCAUCGACGAGGAGGCGACGCCUCUAGUUAUUGAUGAUCGGGAAGACGAAGCUCCGGUGAAGUGGCUACUUGCAGGGAAGGUUUUGAACCGCAAUCUCCUCCAUAUCCGAACCAUAAGCAAUGCCCUCCGCCCAGCUUGGGGAAACCCUAGGGGGUUGAAGUUCACGUCCAUGGGAGAUAAUAUGUUCGUGGUUGUGUUUGAAUCCAAGAGAGACAGAGAUCAGAUCUGGGACGGAUCGCCGUGGCAUGUGAGCAAGAACGCGGUAAUCCUUGCUGAAUUUGAGGAGUGUAUGAGGCCGGAUGAGGUGAGUUUUGACCGGCUGCAGUUAUGGGCACGAGUUAUCAAUCUUCCCUACAAUCUCAGGGAUGAUGUAUGGGGCAAAGAAAUCGCAAAGCAGAUUGAUAAGAAGGCUUCCUCGGUGCAGUUUGACCACACGGGAGGUUAUUUGCGCGCGAGAGUCACCAUUGAUGUGAGUAAAUCUCUGAGGAGGUGGAUUUUAAUUGAAUCGGCCAGGAGGAAGAAGCAAGACUUGUAUGAGAUACAAUAUGAAAAUGUGCUGCACUUCUGUUUCUCCUGUGGCCGCUUGGGACAUUCGGAGCUCUUUUGCCCUACCCCGGGGAAGAGAGACAAGAACGGAGAUCUCCCCUUUGGGGCAGGCCUGCGUGCUCCGGAGAAGAGGAGGAAAGAUUUCUCGGGUGACAGUACGAAGAGAGAGCACACUACAGCCAGCACCAGCAAACGAGAAUCAAAGAACUCCAGUAAUGUUGCUACGGGCAAAACUACUGUGGAGGUUACCUCACCGAUCAAAUCUCGCUUACCAAAAAGAAAGGAGGUGCCUACCCAGGAAUACCAAAGAGUUAAUCAACCACUAUUGUUGAAAUCUGCUGUGGAGCAUGAAGACAUGAGCAAUAGUGAGGAUGGUUCAGAGGGGCAGAAUGAAGAGGACAUGCUUAGGAAGAAGAAGCCAACACCAGAAAAUUCGGCAGAGGCUACGGUGCAGCCCUGCCCGUCCAAAUGAAUUGCAUGAGCUGGAACUGCCGGGGGCUUGGGAACCUCGAGGCAGUUCGCGAGCUUCGCAGCAUUGUGAAGCAAGAAGGUCCUGCCCUUUUAUUUGUAAUGGAAACUAAAAUAAGGGCAAAGAGAGUGGAAAACCUGAAACUCACGUUAGGGUUUGCGGGUUGUUUCGCAAUCGAUAGUGAUGGUCUGAGUGGUGGUGUUGGACUGUUCAGGUCGAAGGAAGUUUCAGUUGAGUUGAAGAAUUAUAGUCUGAGUCAUAUUGACGUCAUAGUUAAGAAGGAGGGACAAGUUUCUCCGCCAUGGAGAUUUACAGGUUUCUAUGGAGCACCGAGAGCAGAGAAUCGUUACCAUAGCUAGCGCUUCAUGAGAACUCUUUAUGCGAUCCAACAUCGAGCUUGGAUCUGCGUUGGUGAUUUUAAUGAGACCUUGUAUGGGUCCGAGCACUUCAGCCGGGCGGCACGGCCGGAGUGGCAGAUGCGGGCCUUCCGCGAGGUGGUGCAAGAGUGCGCCCUACAGGAUCUAGGAUGGAAUGGCUUGGAAUACACAUGGGAUAACAAACAGCAAGGGGAAGCGAAUGUGAAAGCACGACUCGAUCGUGCGCUCGCAAAUGAGGAUUUUUUCAAUCUUUUUCCCCUUACUCGAGUUAGACAUGUCAGUUCCAUAGAAUCUGAUCAUUGUUUUCUUAUAAUUGAACUUAGUGAGCAUCAACUUAUGAAUAAUAAAGGGAAGAAGCAGUUCCGUUAUGAGAAUGUAUGGCAGUCUCAUGCAGACUAUGAUGAGCUUGUAAAUGAAUCAUGGAAGAGGCUACAUCGGGGACAGGGACUUGCAGGUAUAGCCGGUACCCUGCAACAACUACAGGGCGAACUGGGUACCUGGGGUGCCCGGGAGUUUGGGAACCUUUCCCGGACUGUUAAAAAGUUGUAGAAGAAGCUAGAAACUCUCCGGAAACAUUCAGUGGGGCGUGGUCCUUCUGAUGAGGAGGUAGUUACAGCACAAAAAUUGAGAGAAGCUCUUCGGCAGGAAGAAGUAUGGGUGCGACAGCGAUCGCGAGUCCGCUGGUUGCGAGCCGGUGAUCGGAAUACGUCAUAUUUUCAAGCCCAAGCAAGACAGCGUAAGCGUAUGAAAAAAAUCUUGAGGCUGAGAAGACGGGAUGAUACGAUCUGUCAAACACCCGAAGAGGACAAAGAAGAGGUUCAAUCCUUUUAUCAGAUGCUCUACACCUCUCAAGGUUUUAAUGACAUGGAGGGCUUCCUUCAGUUUGUACCAGCACAGGUCAGCGAGGAAAUGAAUACAGAACUGACCAAGCCCUAUGUUGCCGCUGAAGUUAAGGCGGCGCUGUUCCAGAUGGCACCCUCAAAGGCGCCGGGAGUGGACAGUUUUACAGCAGGUUUCUUUCAGCGACAUUGGGCUCUUGUGGAAAAGGACCUAGUGCCGGUAGUAUUGGAUUUUCUGAACGGGGGAGAGAUGCCAGUGGGUAGAAAUGACACUUCAAUUACUCUCAUUCCGAAGGUGAGACACCCCCAGUCUAUCUCACAGUACCGACCUAUAUCGCUCUGUCCAGUGCCGUAUAAAAUUGCGGCAAAAGCUAUAACCAACCGUUUGAAACCUUGGAUGGAUGCGAUAGUGGGAGAGGAACAGAGUGUGUUCGUCCCGGGACGACUCAUCACAGAUAAUGUGCUUGUUGCUUUCGAGAGUAUACAUUCGAUGAAAAGAAGGAAGAAAGGAAAACAAUUUUCAUGUGUCGUUAAGUUGGAUAUGAUGAAGGCAUAUGACCGGGUGGAGUGGCAUUACCUGGAAGCAAUGCUUCUCAGACUGGGCUUCGAUGCUCCUUUUGUUCGUCUGAUUAUGAGGUGCGUCACUUCCGUCAGAUUCUCAGUUCGGAUGAAUGGUGAAUUACUACCUUCCUUCACCCCAUCUAGAGGACUGAGACAAGGUUGCCCUGCGUCCCCCUUCCUGUUUCUAUUAUGUGCGGAAGGACUAACCUCCUUGUUAAAUCAUUUUGGUGGACAUUUUGUGGACAGAGGUAUUCAGGUGUCAUGCAGGUCACCCUGGAUCAACCAUCUACUCUUCGCCGACGACAGCCUCAUCUUCAUUAGUGCGACGGUGGAGAGUGUCGACAGAUUGAAUCAAAUCUCUCCCUAAUAAUAAAGCACGGAUUGGGUCUCCGGGUUCACCGUUAUAUUUUUUUUUACUUUCCGUACGUGGUCUCUUUUGCUGGUCCCUACGAGGUGGUACUAUUUUCUAUUCUACCUUGCUCCACGUCUCCUCUCCUCGAUGGAAUUUUAAAAGAAUCGUACGUACAGGUACGGAGAGCCACGCCAGCCCAUCUAACUAACCGCAAAAAACAUGGGCCUCCUUAUGGGCCGCGUGCACGUGAGUGGGCUUUCUUAUCUUAGGUCUUAGAGAAAGAAAAAAGAAACCGCUACAAUACAGAAUCGAACCUGAGAUCUAUUAUAAUUCUUUCAAUCAGGACAACCAACUGAGAUAAACAUAUUACGUGCAGAAUAGUCCCACCUCACAAUUUCAAACAUAGGCAAACCAGUUAAAAUACCAGCCGCCGCAGUAAUUAACAAACAGCCGUGAAAAAGGGGCAGCUAAUUAAGUGGAUGGGGUAAUUAUUGUGCGCGGCUAAUUCAAAGGAAGGAUGGUGUGGGCUCGGAAGAAUAUAAAGGAAGGAUGGUGUGGCAGAAUAUUUAAAUUUAUGGGAUCCUUAAUAAGGCAAGGAAGGAUUGUGAUGGGAUUGCGAGAAUAUUUAAAUGACUGGGAUUUAUGUGAGGCUAAUAAUUAAAAGGGAGGAUUUGAUUGUGGGCUGAAUAUUUGAAGACGGUCGAGGAGAGGCUAAAUAAUUAAAAGGGAGGAUUUGAUUGUGGGCUGAAUAUUUGGGAUCCGGCUUGCCUGCUCCCUUCCCAUGCUCCCAUCCGUGCUCCCACUUCAUCCUAUGGCUGUCCUUUUUCCUUUUUCUUUUCUAAUCUAAUAUUUGGGAGCAGGCAAGUCUCAUCCGAAUAUUUGAAGACGGUCGAGGAGGACUGUGUGAUCCGGACAAACGUGACCACCAUUGACAAUGGUGACGAAAAGAAGAAUUAGUAACAAUAAUGUGUCUCUAGAAAUGCAUAAUUUUUUUAUGGCCGGUUGUAUCGGCGCUAAUAACAUUUUUUCCCCUACCGAUCUCUACGUGCCCAAUAAUAAAAGAAAAUAGCAUGCUAUAGAGUCAAAUAAAGUCUUCCAUAAAUAGUAUUAAUGUGUCAAUCAACCGUGUGAUCUCAUUAUCAAAGCUUUUUUAUUAAUAUUAAUGUUAUUUAGAGAGAUAAGGCAGUACGUACGUCUUCUCAUUAUUACAAUUGAAAACAUGUUUUAGGACCUCUAGAGCUUGAUACCUACUAUUUUUAUUUUUUAGAAUUGUUUGUGUACAAUGCAUGUAUUUCCACUUUUUAUUUUGUUAAUAUUGUGUGAAAACGGCACGGAUCACUGACAACUGGUGCUCACCAGCCACCUAGCACAUCCCAACACCACAUCUACAACCAUCAUGGAAUAUAUUUCAAGCUGGGAUAGAAGAUAACCAGUUCUAUUUUAACUUACAAUAUGAUGAUGAAUUAUAGCUCUAUAUAGAAAAUUAAAGUCCAUUUGGAAUCGGUAGAAAACUUGCUACUCCCGUAUCAUUGUGUUUUGCCCAUUUAAUUCUAACCAAAUUUAAAUACACAUUAAUUGCGUCUUCCGUAGCAACGCACGGACAUUUUUGCUAGUCCUACAAAUUUAUGCAGACUGUUCGGGGCAGAGUGUGAAUAAAACAAAAAGCUCGGUUUUCUUCUCUUCGAAUACGCCAACAGGGAGACGCCACAUAGUGAAGCAAAGGUUGGGUAUUUGCGUGGAGGCAUUCAGUGAGCGCUACCUUGGUCUUCCUACAGCAGUGGGAAGGAUCACCAGCGAGACGUUUGAUCAUAUUGGCGAUCGGGCGCGGACUAGCAUGCAAGGAUGGUCUGAAAGGAAUUUUGCUUGUGCAGGACGUGAAAUUCUUGUGAAAUCAAUAGUGCAAGCAAUACCUACCUUCAACAUGUCUUGUUUCUGCCUCACGAAGAAAGUUUGCAAGAAGUAUACAGCAAACAUGGCGAAAUAUUGGUGGAGCAGCUCACUUGAUAAACGGUCUUUGCACUGGAUAUUAUGGAAGUCGCUCGCAUCUCCAAAAAUUAAUGGCGGAAUGGGCUUCCGUGAUAUGGAACUCUUCAACAUUGCUCUCCUAGGGAAACAUGGUUGGAGGUUCAUGACCAGCCUAGACUCUUUAUGUGCUCGUGUUAUGAAGAGCAGGUACUUCCCAAAUACUGAUUUCAUGCAUGCAACAAUGUCGCAAUCAUCCUCUGCCAUAUGGAGAGCUAUUGUGGCUGGGCGGGAAGCUCUUCGAGCUGGUCUGAUUAUGCGUGUUGGGGAUGGCAGUUCCAUCUCUGUUUGGAAUGACAAGUGGAUCCCAGGUACAAUAUGCAUGUUCCCUAUGAUUAGGCCAGCCAAUUCUCUAAUCCAGUUUGUUCAGGAGUUAAUUGAUGAUGUAAAUUCGAGAUGGAAGGAUGAUCUAAUCCGUAACACUUUCCUAGCACCAGACGCAGAGGCUAUCUUAAACAUACCACUACGCAAUGGGAGAGCUAACGUGCAGGAGGGGGGCAGCGGAGGCCGCGGCGGAGCUGCGGCAAGGCAGCGCGGCACAACGACGUGGUCGGCGCGCGGCGACAGGCGGCGCGAGCGCGCAAGCGAGAGAGAGAGAGGGAGAGAGAGAGAGAGAGGCGCGGGCUCACGGUGGGGGUAGGGCACGGGGCAGCAGGUGUCNNNNNNNNNNNNNNNNNNNNNNNNNNNNNNNNNNNNNNNNNNNNNNNNNNNNNNNNNNNNNNNNNNNNNNNNNNNNNNNNNNNNNNNNNNNNNNNNNNNNNNNNNNNNNNNNNNNNNNNNNNNNNNNNNNNNNNNNNNNNNNNNNNNNNNNNNNNNNNNNNNNNNNNNNNNNNNNNNNNNNNNNNNNNNNNNNNNNNNNNNNNNNNNNNNNNNNNNNNNNNNNNNNNNNNNNNNNNNNNNNNNNNNNNNNNNNNNNNNNNNNNNNNNNNNNNNNNNNNNNNNNNNNNNNNNNNNNNNNNNNNNNNNNNNNNNNNNNNNNNNNNNNNNNNNAGGUGUCGUGGGGGAGGACGGGGACGUCGUCGGCGUCGAGGAGGCAGGCCGGUGGGGGGAGCGCCGGCGAGGUCCAGGCGGGGAGGGGGCGACGGUGUUCGGCGGCGACGUCGGGCGUCGAGGGCGCGGUCACCCCGAUCCCGAUCCGGAUCGGGGGAGCGAGGGGGGAGCGAGUGGGGCGAGUGGGGCGACGGGGUGGACGGCUAGGGUUUCGGGAGGGGUUAAGGAGAAGGGUUGGGCCGGUGGCCUGGCCGGCUGUGGCCUGGUGGGCCGAAGCCCAAGGGGCCGGGGGUUUCUUUUAUUUUAUUUUUGCUUUAUGUUUUGUUUAUUUUCCUUUUAUUUAUUUUGUUUUACUGCUUUAAUUCAACUUAGGGCAUAUAAGUAUUUUAUAAAUUUGUGUUUUCUUUACUAUAAUUAUCUAUGUAAUAUUUGGCACUAACCGAACAUUUUUGUUUUGAUGUUUGAAAACUUUUGAUGUUUGACAAUAUUUAAAUUUUGAAUUUGAAAGUUUCGAACCGACGCGAGAUUAGCAACAGUAAACGAGGUGACGUGGCAUCAUUAGCAGAGAUUCACUACAGCUUAAAUAUCUGGACGUCACAAUUCUCCUCCACUACAAGAAAUCUUGUCCCGAGAUUUAGGAGGUAGAAGGAAACAGUGCGGGGUAUUCAUCACGCAGGCGGUCCUCGCGUUCCCAAGUGGCUUCAUCUUCAGAAUGGUGCGACCACUGGACUUUGAGGAACUUGAUCGCCUUCUGACGUGUGCGGCAUUCAGCUUGGUCAAGAAUGCAGACCGGAUGCUCUUUAUAGGAGAGGUCCUGUUGCAAUUCGAGCACUUCAUGUUCCACUGCUCGGAUUGGAUCCUUGAAGCAACGGCGGAGUUGUGACACGUGGAACACAUCAUGAACCUGGGAAAGGUUCGGCAGAAGCUCCAGUUGAUAUGCCACUUUUCCACGCCUUUCAAGAAUAGUGAAGGGACCGAUAUAGCGAGGAGCUAGCUUGCCCUUGAUCCCGAAGCGGUGAGCACCCUUCAUUGGUGUAACUCGAAGAUAAGCCUUUUCGCCAGGUUGAUAGACCAUGUCUUGGUGAUGGCGGUCAUACUGACUUUUCUGACAUGACUGAGCAGUCUUGAGAUUCUCGCGAAUAAUGCGAACUUGUUCUUCGGCCUGUUGGAUAAUAUCCGGACCGAAGAGUGGACGUUCCCCAGUUUCUGACCAGUUUAGAGGGGUCCGACACUUUCGUCCAUAUAGCACUUCGAAGGGGGACAUCUUCAGACUAGCUUGAUAGCUAUUAUUAUAAGAGAACUCGGCAUAUGGAAGAGAUUCCUCCCAUUUCUUGCCGAAGGAAAUUACACAAGCUCGAAGCAUGUCUUCGAGAACUUGGUUGACACGUUCAACCUGUCCUUGCAACUGUGGAUGAAACGCCGUACUGAACGACAGGUGAGUUCCCAUAGCUUCUUGGAAACUCGCCCAAAAUCUUGAAGUGAAUAAGCUGCCACGGUCUGAACUGAUAACCAGUGGAAUACCGUGAAGUGAAACAAUUCUGGACAUGUAGAGAGUAGCAAGCUGACUAGCAGUGAUUGUCCCUUUGACCGCCAGAAAAUGUGCAACUUUAGAAAGCCGGUCAAUGACGACAAGAAUAGCAUCAUUACCUUUCUGUGAUUUGGGAAAUCCAGUGACGAAGUCCAUUUCAACAUGGUCCCAUUUCCAUUCAGGAAUAGAGAUAGGUUGCAGAGUUCCAGCCGGCCAUUGAUGCUCUGCUUUGAUACGGCGGCAAACGUCACACUCAGCAACAUAACGAGCAAUAUCCUGCUUCAUAUUGGACCACCAGAAUCUUUGAUGAAUAUCCUGGUACAUCUUUGUACUACUAGGAUGAAUAGACAAAGGCGUAUCAUGAGCUUCUUUCCUAACCUCUUUAGUCUGAUCCAGGUUUUUCCUCGAACGUGGUACCACUAGGCGGACUUUGAAGUACAAGGCGCCAUCAUCGGUGAUAGAGAAGAAGGAGGUCUUUCCUUCUGCUAGAUGACGUUUAAUCUUAUGGACUUCAGAGUCAUAACCUUGAAUAGUCUUUAUACCAGCUACGAGAUCCGAUACGACAGCCAGGGUAUUUAGAGAACCCUUAGUAACAACAUGAAGAUUCAUCUUCUGAAACUCUGGGGGAGGGGGCGAGUGCUCCAGGAGGAACAAUAUGAAGGUUCAGCUUUCUAAAUUCUUCGACAAGCGAGGGCUGAACUUUGUGAACCUGGAGGUGAUUGCAAUAAGACUUGCGGCUCAAGGCAUCAGCCAUUACAUUAGCCUUGCCGGGGGUAUAGGAUAUACCCACGUCAAAGUCUGCAACAGUCUCCAUCCAUCUCUGCUGACGGAGGUUCAGAUCUGGCUGAGUAAACAGAUACUUCAGCCUUUGGUGGUCGGUGUGUUGGGGAACGUAGCAUAAAUUCAAAAUUUUCCUACGUGUCACCAAGAUCAAUCUAUGGAGUCAUCUAGCAACGAGGGAGGAUUGGAUCUACAUACCCUUGUAGAUCACGCGCGGAAGCGUUCAAGAGAACGGGGUUGAUGGAGUUGUACUCGUCGUGAUUCAAAUCACCGAUGAUCCUAGCGCCGAACGGACGGCACCUCCGCGUUCAACACACGUACGGAGCAGCGACAAUGUUUUGAUAUCCUAUUUGCAAGAUUUCAUAAAUGAUGCAGUAAUUGCUAAUAUAGUUCCAACAGACUCUUAGCAUCGCUACGAGUGAGAAAGUCUCACCGUAGUCAACUCCUUGAACUUGUCGGAAACUUCUUAACGACAAGUCGAGCUUUCUUAAUGGUGACAUUUACCAUCAUUGUCCGUCUUCCUUUUAAAAUCCAUAUGUACCUAACAGCCUUACGACCAUCAAGUAGUUCUGCCAAAGUCUACACUUUGUUUUCAUAUAUGGAUCCUCUCUCGGAUUAUAUGGCCUCGAGCCAUUUUGGAAUCCAGGCCCACCAUCGCUUCUCCAUAGCUUGUAGGUUCAUUGUUGUCUAGCAACAUGACUUCCAAGACAGGAUUACGUACCAUUCUGAAGUAGUAUGCAUCCUUGUUAUCCCACGAGGUUUGGUAGUGGCUUGAUCUGAAGUUUCAUGAUCACUAUCAUAAGCUUCCACUUCAAUUGGUGUAGGUGCCACAGGAACAACUUCAUGUGCCCUGCCACACACUAGUUGAAGAGACGGUUCAAUAACCUCAUCAAGUCUCCACCAUCCUCCCACUCAAUUCUUUCGAGAGAAACUUUUCCUCGAGAAAGGGCCCGAUUCUAGAAACAAUCCCCUAUUGCUUUCGGAUCUAAGACACGAGGUAUACCCAACUGUUUUGGGUGUCCUAUGAAGAUGCAUUUAUCCACUUUGGGUUCGAGCUUAUCAGCCUGAAACUUUUUCACAUAAGCGUCGCAGCCCCAAACUUUUAAGAAAUGACAGCUUAGAUUUCUCUAAACCAUAGUUCAUACGGUGUCACCUCAUCGGAAUUACGUGGUGCCCUAUUUAAAGUGAAUGUGGUUGUCUCUAAUGCCUAACCCAUAAACUAUUGUGGUAAUUCGAUAAGAGACAUCAUGGUAUGCAUCAUAUCCAAUAGGGUGCAGUUAUGAUGUUCGGACACACCAUCACACUAUGGUGUUCCAGACUGUAUUGGUUGUGAAACAAUUUCCACAAUGUCUUAAUUCUGUGCCAAACUCGUAAUUCAGAUAUUCAUCUCUAUGAUCAUAUUAUAGAUCUUUUAUCCUCUUGUCACGACGAUCUUUCAACUUCACCCUGAAAUUACUUGAACCUUUCAAUAAUUCAGACUCGUGAUUCAUCAAGUAAAUGUACUCAACAUCUACUCAAACCAUCUGUGAAGUAAGAACAUAACGAUGUCCACUACACGCCUCAACACUCAUUGGACUGCACACAUCAAAAUGUAUUACUUCCAACAAGUUGCUUUCUAGUUCCAUUUUACUGAAAAACGAGGCUUUCAGUCAUCUUGCCCAUGUGGUAUGAUUUGCAUGUCUCAAGUGAUUCAAAAUCAAGUGAGUCCAAACGAUCCAUCUGUAUAGAGUUUCUUCAUGCAUAUCUACCAACAAACAUGGUUCGCAUGUCUCAAUCCUUUCAAAAAUGAGUGAGUCCAAAGAUCCAUCAACAUGGAGCUUCUUCAUGUGUUUUAUACCGAUAUGACUUAAGUGGCAGUGCCACAAGUAGGUGGUACUAUCAUUACUAUAUUUUGGCAUGAACAUGUGUAUCACUACGAUCGAGAUUCAAUGAACCAUUCAUUUUAGGUGCAAGACCAUUGAAGGUAUUAUUCAAAUAAAUAGAGUAACCGUUAUUCUCCUUAAAUGAAUAACCGUAUUGCGAUAGACAUAAUCCAAUCAUGUCUAUGCUCAAUGCAAACACCAAAUAACAAUUAUUUAGGUUUUAAUACCAAUCUCGAUGGUAGAGGGAGCGUGCGAUGCUUGAUCAUAUCAACCCUGGAAACACUUCCAACACAUAUCGUCAGCUCACCUUUAGCUAGUCUCCGUUCAAUCCGUAGCUUUUAUUUCGAGUUACUAACACUCAGCAACCGAAUCGGUAUCUAAUACCCUGGUGCUAGAGUACUAGUAAAGUACACAUCAACACAAUGUAUAUCCAACAUACUUCUAUCGACCUUGCCAGCCUUCUAAUCUACCAAGUAUCUAGGGUAAUUCUGCUCCAGUGGCUGUUCCCCUUAUUACAGAAGCACUUAGUCUCGGGUUUGGGUUCAACCUUGGGUUUCUUCACCAGAGCAGCAGCUGAAUUGCCGUUUCAUGAAGUAUCCCUUCUUGCCCUUGCCCUUCUUGAAACUAGUGGUUUCACCAACCAUCAACAAUUGACGCUCCUUCUUGAUUUAUACUUUGGUGUCAAACAUCGCGAAUAUCUCAAGGAUCAUCAUAUAUGUCCCUGAUAUAUUAUAGUUCAUCACGAAGCUCUAGCAGCUUGAUGGCAAUGACUUUGGAGAACCAUCACUAUUUCAUCUGGAAGAUCAACUCCCACUCGAUUCAAGCGAUUGUUUUACUCAGACAAUCUGAGCACAAGCACAACAAUUGAGCUUUUCUCCUUAGUUUGCAGGCUAAGAAAAUCGUCGGAGGUCUUAUACCUCUUGACGUGGGCACGAGCCUGAAAUCCCAAUUUCAGCCCUCGAAACAUCUCAUAUGUUUCGCGAUGUUUCAAAACGUCUUCGGUGCCUCAACUCUAAACCGUUUAACUGAACUAUCACGUAGUUAUCAAAAUGUGUAUGUCAGAUGUUCGCAACAUCCAUAGACAACGUUCGAGGUUCAGCACACUGAGCGGUGCAUUAAGGACAUAAGCCUUCUAUGAAGCAAUGAGGACAAUCCUCAGUUUACGGACCUAGUCCGCAUAAUUGCUACUAUCAACUUUCAACUAAAUUUUCUCUAGGAACAUAUCUAAACAGUAGAACUAAAGCGCGAGCUAUGACAUAAUUUGCGAAGAUCUUUUGACUACGUUUAGGAUAAUUAAGUUCAUCUUAUGAACUCCCACUCAGAUAGACAUCCCUCUAGUCAUCUAAGUGAUUACAUGAUCCGAGUCAACUUGGCCGUGUCCGAUCAUCACGUGAGACGGACUAGUCAUCAUCGGUGAACAUCUUCAUGUUGAUCAUAUCUACCAUACGACUCAUGAUCGACCUUUCGGUCUUCUGUGUUCCGAGGCCAUGUAUGUACAUGCUAGGCUCGUCAAGUCAACCUAAGUGUUUGCAUGUGUUCCGAGGCCAUGUCUGUACAUGCUAGGCUCGUCAACACCCGUUGUAUUCGAACAUAAGAAUCUAUACACCCGAUCAUCACGUGGUGCUUCGAAACUACGAACUGUCGCAACGGUGCACAGUUAGGGGGAACACUUUCUUGAAAUUUUAAUGAGAGAUCAUCUUAUUUACUACCGUCGUUCUUAGUAAAAAAGAUGUAUAAACAUGAUAAACAUCACAUGCAAUCAAAUAAUAGUGACAUGAUAUGGCCAAUAUCAUAUAGCUCCUUUGAUCUCCAUCUUGGGGCUCCAUGAUCAUCUUGUCACCGGCAUGACACCAUGAUCUCCAUCAUCAUGAUCUCCAUCAUCGUGUUUCCAUGAAGUUGCCUCGCCAACUAUUACUUCUACUUCUACAGCUAACGGUUAGCAAUAAAGUAAAGUAAUUACAUGACGUUUAUGUUGACACGCAGGUCAUAAAUAAAGACAACUCCUAUGGCUCCUGCCGAUUGUCAUACUCAUCGACAUGAAAGUCGUGAUUCCUAUUACAAGAACAUGAUCAAUCUCAUACAUCACAUAUAUCAUUCAUCACAUCCUUUUGGCCAUAUCACAUCACAAGGCAUACCCUGCAAAAACAAGUUAGACGUCCUCUAAUUGUUGUUUGCAUGUUUUAUGUGGCUGCUAUGGAUUUCUAGCAAGAACGUUUCUUACCUACGCAAAGACCACAACGUGAUAUGCCAAUUGCUAUUUACCCUUCACAAGGACCCUUUUCAUCGAAUCCGAUCCGACUAAAGUGGGAGAGACAGACACCCGCUAGCCACCUUAUGCAACUAGUGCAUGUCUGUUGGUGGAACCAGUCUCAUGUAAGAGUACAUGUAAGGUCGGUCCGGGCCGCUUCAUCCCACGAUGCCGUCGAAUCAAGAUAAGACUAGUAACGGCAAGCAUAUUGAACAAAAUCAACGCCCACAACUACUUUGUGUUCUACUCGUGCAUAGAAACUACACAUAGACCUAGCUCAUGAUGCCACUAUUGGGGAACGUAGCAUAAAUUCAAAAUUUUCCUACGUGUCACCAAGAUCAAUCUAUGGAGUCAUCUAGCAACGAGGGAGGAUUGGAUCUACAUACCCUUGUAGAUCACGCGCGGAAGCAUUCAAGAGAACGGGGUUGAUGGAGUCGUACUCGUCGUGAUUCAAAUCACCGAUGAUCCUAGCGCCGAACGGACGACACCUCCGCGUUCAACACACGUACGGAGCAGCGAUGUCUCCUCCUUCUUGAUCCAGCAAGGGGGAAGGAGAGGUUGAUGGAGAUCCAACAACACGACGGCGUGGUGGUGGAAGUAGCGGGAUUCCAACAGGGCUUCGCUAAGCGCUGCGGGAGGAGGGAGAUGUGUCACGGGAGGGAGAGGGAGGCGCCAGGCCUUAGGUAUGGUUGCUCCUCCUUUUCCCCACUAUAUAUAGGGCCAAGGGAGAGGGGGGAGGCACAGCCCUUGCCCCUUCCUCCAAGGAAGGGUGCGGCCAAGGGGGGGAGGAGUCCAUCCUCCCCAAGGCACCUCGGAGGUGCCUUCCCCUUUUAGGACUCUCCCCUUUUUCUCUUCUCUUGGCGCAUGGGCCUCUUGGGGCUGGUGACCUUGGCCCAUGUAGUCCAAGGCGCACCCCCUACAGCCCAUGUGGCCCCCCGGGGCAGGUGGCCCCACCCGGUGGACCCCCGGGACCCUUCCGGUGGUCCCGGUACAAUACCGGUGACCCCGAAACUUGUCCCGAUGGCCGAAAUAGCACUUCCUAUAUAUAAUUCUUUACCUCCGGACCAUUUCGGAACUCCUCGUGACCUCCAGUAUCUCAUCCGGGACUCCGAACAACUUUCGGGUUACCGCAUACUAAUAUCUCUAUAACCCUAGCGUCACCGAACCUUAAGUGUGUAGACCCUACGGGUUCGGGAGACAUGCAGACAUGACUGAGAUGACUCUCCGGUCAAUAACCAACAGCGGGAUCUGGAUACCCAUGUUGGUUCCCACAUGUUCCACGAUGUCAAGGACUUAAUCAAUCCCGUAUACAAUUCCCUUUGUCUAGCGGCAUUGUACUUGCCCGAGAUUCGAUCGCCGGUAUCCCGAUACCUUGUUCAAUCUCGUUACCAGCAAGUCUCUUUACUCGUUCCGUAACACAUCAUCCCGUGAUCAACUCCUUGACCACAUUGUGCACAUUACGAUGAUGUCUUACCGAGUGGGCCCAGAGAUACCUCUCCGUCACACAGAGUGACAAAUCCCAGUCUCGAUUCGUGCCAACCCAACAGACACCUUUCGAAGAUACCCGUAGUGUACCUUUAUAGCCACCCAGUUACGUUUUGACGUUUGGCACACCCAAAGCACUCCUACGGUAUCCGGGAGUUGCACAAUCUCAUGGUCUAAGGAAAUGAUACUUGACAUUAGAAAAGCUUUAGCAUACGAACUACACGAUCUUGUGCUAUGCUUAGGAUUGGGUCUUGUCCAUCACAUCAUUCUCCUAAUGAUGUGAUCCCGUUAUCAAUGACAUCCAAUGUCCAUGGUUAGGAAACCGUAACCAUCUAUUGAUCAACGAGCUAGUCAACUAGAGGCUUACUAGGGACAUGGUGUUGUCUAUGUAUCCACACAUGUAUCUGAGUUUCCUAUCAAUACAAUUCUAGCAUGGAUAAUAAACGAUUAUCAUGAACAAGGAAAUAUAAUAAUAAUCAAUUUAUUAUUGCCUCUAGGGCAUAUUUCCAACACGGUGAAGAUUUCGCAACUAUUACCGAGAAGGUAAUGUCGCCACUGCUUCAGUGCAUGAAUGACAGCAGCAAGCUCGAGGUCGUGAACUGGGUAGUUUUCUUCGUGAGGGCGCAGUUGAUGAGAGGCAUAAGCAAUCACUCUACGCUCUUGCAUUAGGACACGGCCUAAUCCUUGACGGGAAGCAUCAUAGUAAAUGACGAAGUCCUUAGUAUCAGGUGGAGCAAGCACUGGGGCAGAAGUCAACUUGUCUUUGAGCGCCUGGAAACUUUCCUAACACUUGUCUGUCCAGUCGAACUUGACACCCUUAUGCAACAGAUUAGUCAGAGGCCUGUCAAUCUUGGAGAAGUUCUCGACGAAUCGACGGCAAUAGCUGGCGAGACCGAGAAAACUUCGGACUUGCUUGACAUUCUUCGGAGGAGUCCAAUCGAGAAUAGCCUGAAGUCGUUCAGGGUUGACGGCAAUACCAUCCUUGGAGAUGACAUGCCCAAGAUAGGUUACUUUGGGGAGCCAGAAUUCACACUUGGAAUACUUAGCAUACAGUUGAUGCUCUCGAAGCUUUUCCAGCACAAGACGAAGAUGUUCAGCAUGUUCUUCCUUGAUCUUGGAAAAUACAAGGAUAUCGUCCAAAUAAACCACGACGAACUUGUCGAGGUAAUCCAUGAAUAUAUAGUUUAUCAGACGAGAGAAGGUGGCUGGAGCAUUCAUUAAGCCGAAUGACAUGACGGUGUACUCGUAUGAUCCAUAUCGAGUCACGAAGGCGGUUUUUGGGAUAUCCUCUUCACGAACACGGAUCUGGUGGUAACCCAACCUCAAGUUGAGUUUGGAGAACACUGAUGAGCCAGCCAGUUGAUCAUAAAGAUCAUUGAUCCGAGGAAGAGGGUAUUUAUUCUGAAUGGUAGCUUGGUUUAUAGGACGGUAGUCUUGGACUAAUCGGUUUGUCCCAUCCUUCUUCUUAACAAAGAGAGAAGGUGCUCCCCAAGGAGAGCAACUUGGGCGAAUGAAACCUUUGACAAGAGAUUUGUCAAUUUCCUCCUUAAGCUCAAUGAGUUCAUGUGGCGGCAUCUUGUAGGGUUGUUUGGCUAUAGGGGUGGUGCCGGGUUUCAAGUCGAUGAUGAAUUCGACAGCUCUAGCAGGGGGAAUCCCUGGAAGUUCUUCUGUGAAGACGUCUUGGAAUUCACAAACGAUGAGAAUGUUUUCAAUGCCCUCGAGUGGUGCAGCGUUCAACGCAUUCAAGGCAUAAAGUCGUGCCUCGGCGUUCUGAACUAGAUGAGCUUGGUAAGCAAUUAUUUCAUUAGAAGGGUGUAGCAGAUGGACGACCUUAGUGGCGCAAACUAUAGAAGAAGUAUGCGCUUUCAACCAAUCCAUCCCCAGAAUGAGGUCGAUGUUAGACGACUUCAGGAUAAUGGGAGAGGCAUAGAAUUCCAGCCCUUCGAUUUCCAUGGGGACGUCGAUGCCAACCAGUGAGGUUUGACAUUGUCCCACGGGGUUUUUACCAAUACCGAAGUGUUCAUCUCCUCACAUUUAACAUCAUGCUUGUAUGCAAAAUCGUCUGACAUGAAUGAAUGCGAUGCUCCUGAAUCGAAUAAAACAGAUGCAGGUACUAAAUUUACAAGGAGUGUACCCAUCACGGUAGCAGGCUGGUCUAGAACUUUAUUGAGAUCAGUGUGGUUUGCAUGAACACAACCAUUGAGGUCCAAACCACACCUUCUCCUUUCCGUGAGUUAUCAUCAGAGCGCUUCCAGCAAAGGUCCAUUCCAACAUGACCAGCUGUCGCAGCUCCUCCCCUCGCCCCUCCGGUCCCAAACCCGGGGACUGGGAGAGUUGCACCAUCCCGCAUAGCAAGUUAGCGUCACUUCAGGCCAAGGGAUUCCUCCCUUAGGCAUACAUGGUCCCGGUCCGAGCCGGUCUCGCCACCUAUAAUGGCGGAAAACAAGCGGAGAGCACCCCCAAUCCUUCUAAAGGAGAGCGGGUGUGCCUCGUCCCCUAUCUAAUAAGGGGACUGGGAUUUCCAAUUCACCCGUUUCUCCAUGGGCUUCUGGAGUUCUAUGGCCUCCAGCUGCACCAUCUCACGCCCGCCUCCGUAUUGCACAUCGCAGGUUUCGUCGCCCUUUGCGAGCUAUUUUUAGGCGUGGAGGCUCAUUUCGCGCUGUGGAAGAGGUUAUUCUGCCUGGUGCCCCGUUCUGAAAAGGGGUCUAUAUAUCAAGUGGGAGGAGCCGAAGUAUGGCGCAUCGCCGGGACCAGAUACCUAUCCGAAACCCCAAAGAAGGCGUCCGAGGACUGGCCUUCGGAAUGGUUUUACAUAGAUGACGUCCCGCUUCCGGACCCUAUCCGGGUCGGUCUCCCUGAGUUCAACAGUGCUCCAUUGAAGAAACGCUUGAGCUGGCGUCCGCGGAGCUCUCAGAGAGAAAGUGAUAGAGACGUCCUUUACCUGAUGGGCCGGAUAAGACUGUUGGCUCAUUCCAGACUAACCAUGAUUGGAGUCAUGGCCGCAUGCAUUAUGCGGGGGGUGCAGCCGCUUCAAUAUAGAGGCCACCCCAUGUGGGAUUUCAACGGGGAGGAUGACGCCACACGUUACGGUCGUAAGGGGCCGGACUCAGCCGCCGCCUUAGUAAAGAUCUUAUCCUCUUUGUAUAAGGGAGAAAAGGAGGAAUUCCUCCGCGUCAAUCCGCAGGCCGGAUUUACUAUGUACGAUCCUCCAAGUUGGGUAAGUGAAUAAUUGCGCUUGCCUGUUUGUUCUAUACUCCCAUGGUUAGAUAUGUAGUCUAAUGACUUUAGUGCAGGAACUGCGACAGGAGGUAAAGGAUAUAAAUAGACGCCCUCCACAGCCCGAGGACCCAGAACGGUCCCUCGAUCCGGACUCCGAAGAGGAUCCGGACAUAUCGGUGGAGCUUAUCGACGGGGUGUUCCAUCAGCUAAGCAAGGACAAUACCUUGGUAGCCAUCACGGCUGAUUACCCAGGGUUAAUCCCGGCCUCCAAGGUGACAGAAGCCGGCAUCUCAUUCCCUCGAGAGAGAUUGCACUCUCGCGUAUUCCGGUGUUUCUGACGACAACCAUGUUUUGCAGGGGAGUUUUCCAAGGCAGGAGGCCGAACCUGCGGCGGCCAGCCAACGAGGGGCCGCAGGGCCCCGUGGGGCAAAAAGGAAUGAAGUCCGGACUGAGAUGCCGGCGCAAAGGUAUAGUGCACCCUCUGUUUCCCUGGUGUUAUUCUGUCAGGGCAUAUUAACGUUCGUGCUAUCUUCAGAAUGAAGAGACCUUGCCGGACUACAUCCGGAGAGGUUGCCAAUCGCGCCUCCGCCAGCCAGGCUCCAACGGCUGGCCAGGAAGCGGAGGCGAGCACAAGGCGCGUACCGGAUGCUCCUCCGACAGAGGAUGAGGACAGGCUGUCUGCCACAAAUUCUGAAGUGGAGAGUGCCAUGAACCACAGGCGUCGCCGGACAGUUCUACGCGACGCUUGUUUCUCCCAAGAGGCUUUAGAUACCUUUAAUUUGGGAGAUGCGUACCUCCGUGCCGCUCAAAAUGGUUUAGCCAGGGCCACGGAGCAGUAUGUAAAAGACAUACGGGUAAGAAAAUUUUGGUCAAAGAUAUAUAUACCAGUAGCCCCCGAGACUUGAAACAGUUAGAGCAACUGAUUUAAGGAUCUUUUAAUAUGCAGGUUCUUACAGAGAAGAAUAUUGUACUGUCCCAGGAGCUGGAAAAGUGCAGGGCCCAACUAGAGGCCGCACUAGCCGCAGCAGGGGAGUCCAAAGAGACCCCCUCAGGUAAGAUAGACUUCGAAAGAUUAGUAUUGUGCGGUGUGGGUGUAAAUCUGACAAAUCAUAUUGCAGAUGGCGCCGGACUCGAUCCGGACAAACAACAACUCUUACGCCAGCUAAAGGCCGGUGAGAGUAUGUUGACAAGGGUGAGGCGAGAGAAGAAUGAUCUUCAGGAUGCCAACACCAAGCUGGACGUCGAACUUAAAGAUGUUCGUGGCCAGCUGUCAGACUCCACGAAGGAGAAUCAACGGCUUCGACGCGGCAUUUUUAGUAAGUGCUUGAACGAACUUUGAAAAAAGAGUUCGGCGAAGAAGUCGACUAACAGAGUAAUGUCUGUAGGUAUGCUCACAGGUUGUCCUGCAGAGGAGAUGCCCGGUUCUACGGGUGAGCUUCUUCCCGAACUCAUGCAACUGCACGAGCGAAUUCAGCAGGCGAUGCGAGGUGUUGCCCAAGCCUUAUGGCCUGCCCACUCCAUGCCCGAGGGCCUUGGAGAGCUUGCGGAGAAGCUGAAGGGAGCUCGGCGGUGCUUCCGGUUGUGGAAAAUAUCGGCCUGCCGACAAGGCGCUAGGGAAGCCUGGGCCAUGGUGAAGACCCGUUUUAUGAAGUCUGACCCAAACCACAUGGCCGAGGUCGGACCGGUGGGGCCUGACGGGAAGGAGAUCCCUGUGAGCUUAGUAUACGGCCAAGUAGAGUUGGCCGCGAAGUAUUCCCAGCAGGACUAUAAAUUAGACAGCCUGUUAGAUGGUAUAGAAGAGGAAUACAAUCAGUCAGAAUGACUAUGUAAUUUUGAAUUGACAUGUGUAAUGCCUUCUAGCCGGAUUGUAGAUCAUUUGUCGUUGCCGACCUUUUCGCUUCAACCUCGGGACCUGACGGUCCGGAGUGUGUCCGAAUACCAUAGCGGUUAUAUAAGAACCGUGGUAUGCGUGGAGACCAGGCGUAGGGGUCAUUAGUGCUUUAUCAGACAAGUGCCCAACUAGUUAUGUUAUAUUACAUGGUUAGUAAGAAACAUCUUCCAGAGAGAAUAGUUCCGUUGGGGGUUCCUUUUGCUGGGAGGCAUGCCCUAAAGUGCAUGUCCGGACUGCGUAAAAAGACGCAGAAAAAAGCAUCUGGGGGCGCAUAAAAAGAAAAGGAUCAUCUCUUAUCUCACCGACCGAAUAUUCCCUUAAGAACGCUAGCUUUCGGCUUCACCCAGUCUGAGGUACACAUCCGGCUGACCCGGCAGUAACAAUCGCAGAGGUGCUCCCUUUACCAUCUAGCCGAACAAUCGGGAAUGUAGGGGUAAGCACAGGAGCCAGGCAACCCAGCUUGGCCAAAACUUAAGUCAUAUCGAUGCAUAUAAUGGUGAAGAAAAAGGUACAUGCGGAAGUUUGACGCAUGUGUUGGGCGUGAAGCCCGUAUAAAUAAGCUUCUGUUAAAGAAGCCCCCAGGUUUAAUGAGCGCGAGUGGCGCGUCACUAGAUAAGCCUUUAAGGGCUAUAAAAGAAAAGAGGGGAAGGAGAGAAAUGUAAGAUAGAAAAAUGCAAAAAAUGGACAGAGGAAGGAGACGAACACAGAGUCCGGCGCUAGGCAUAGAAUCUUCGGAGACGGGUGGCGUUCCAUGGGUUCGGCUCGAGUCGGUUAUCCGACGCAUCUCGCAGGCGGUAUGCCCCGCCAGUCAGGACUUGGUCGAUUAUGAAUGGACCUUCCCACUUGGGCUUGAGUUUGUCCUUUUUCUUAUCCGACAGGCGUAGAAAUAGUUCGCCAACAUUGUAAUUUUUGUCCUGUACUUCUCUGCCUUGAUAUCUUCGGGCCUGCUGUUGAUAAAAUGCGGAAUGGGCUUUUGCCACGUCGCGCUCUUCCUCUAGGGCGUCCAAGUUGUCCUGCCGAUCGAGCUCGGCUUCUCUUUCUUCGUACAUGCGCACUCUAGGUGAGUCAUGAAUUAUGUCGCAGGGCAGAACUGCCUCUGCGCCGUACACCAUAAAAAAUUGCAAGUGCGUGAGAGAGCUCGCUUUAGGCUCAGUUUUACUAUCCUUAAUAAUAGCUGGAGUAAGAAUUUUUUAAAAGAUCACCUAGGAGCAAGAAAAGCUUACAGAAAUAGCGAUUUUUGUUGUCUUAUUAUUCAGGCCAUCAGCAUAAUUGUCAGGGUAAAGCCAACAGUAUAAUUGUCGUUGUAUGCUAAAUCCUUAGUGACAAAAAAAGGAUAAAUUUGGUACUACAAUUCAACCUGCUAAUCUAGAAACCGAUUUGACCGCAAGUUAGGUUGGCAUGAACGCUCCUAUAAUAGAAGAUAGGGUUAUCUCUACGUUAUGAAGGCAGAUGAAACAUGAAGCUCUCUACUAAUGUGCAGCAAGAGCAUUGCAACAUCCACUAAGGCCCAGUUCUUUUCGUGGUGGAUUCUGCAGAAUCAAGAUUCUAGAAAUUUCUCACAGAAUCUGUCGCCUAGUUCUUUUCUAAGAUUGUAGUUUGAAAUUGUGGAUUCAGUUAUGUGGCGAAAUGUCUGUACUGCCCUUAGACAGAAAAUGUUUGAUGAAUUGUUAACACUUUAGCUUUAGCUGCACUGACUUUCUCCAUCUAAAACAUACAGCCAUUAGCGCAUCUAUUCAUCAGCACAUACCAAAAUUACCAAGCACCAAGUAGCAGUACCAAAUUGGCAAUUACCAAAUUGAAAUUGUCAAGCGACAGAUACAGAUUUAAACAUACAUCAAUGCAUUAGCAGUACCAUUUAUUCAUCAAUACAUGCAUCUAUCCAUCCAUCUAUUCACCUAGAUGUUAACAGAGAAACAGAGAAGAAUACAGAGGUAGAAGAGAGACGGGACAGAGAAGAAGAGUUCCCAUCGGGCGUCUAGGCAGGGCGGCCAGAGGCGACCAGAGGCGGCAGGCUGCCCUUCCAGCGGGGUCGCGAGGAGCAAGGCUGACGGAGCUCCCGUCCGGCGGCGUCGUGAGGAGAGGUGCUGUCGGUGUUCCCAUCUGGCGGCGGCGAGGCAGGCCGUCGUGAGGAGAGGGGCCGCCCCAAGGCGAGAACCGACGUGUAGGCUGGGCUGCCAGGGGGUGGCCGGUGGCGGGCUGGUGGAGCUCCCGCCGCCGCUAGCGCUCGUGGGGAUCGAGCGUUUGAUGGGCCGUUCAGUCGUGCAAAAGGGGCAGUUUGGCUGUAAAUUAUUCCUCCAAUAGGGGUACUCUCAUAUCCGAAACGUUUUCUUUGGUGGGACUUACCAGAAUACUGGGAUUCUGUGAAAAUCUAUGUUUUUCGAGGAUUUUGAAUUGCACUAGGAUUCUGCAGAAUCCGCUCGAGAUUUUGGAAGGCAAAUCGAGUUCUUUUCGCUCAGGAUUUUCCAGGACGAGAUUCUUCACAAUCUGUUCAAAAGAACUGGGCCUAAUUGCCGAAUGCAGCGGUAUUCUUUCGCUGGAGGUCAUUGCUGGAUUUGCUUUAGCUCUUCGGGCUGUUUUUCGUAAUCUCCAAGCCUCUUCAACCACCGUAAACCGAGGUCAGAUCCAGACUCAGCUG
Molecule: long non-coding RNA, 27605 nt
Filed under: Triticum aestivum (bread wheat)
Lineage: Eukaryota; Viridiplantae; Streptophyta; Magnoliopsida; Poales; Poaceae
Description: long non-coding RNA (TAES_LNC010151)
Rfam family: MIR1120/MIR1122 microRNA precursor family (bases 715-801)
Source: RNAcentral